GGAAGUCCGCAACAGGACGGCGCGCGCGCCAACCCGGCCAGGGCCGAAAGGCAGCAACCGUAACGUGUUUUACCGGGUCUGGGGCGGGCUUCCACC
This 96-nucleotide signal recognition particle RNA is filed under the name Alphaproteobacteria bacterium. RNAcentral's name for it is "signal recognition particle sRNA small type". It matches the Rfam family "Bacterial small signal recognition particle RNA". From Rfam's summary of the family: The signal recognition particle (SRP) is a universally conserved ribonucleoprotein involved in the co-translational targeting of proteins to membranes. Archaeal SRP consists of a 7S RNA and homologues of the eukaryotic SRP19 and SRP54 proteins. The record is from RNAcentral. Lineage: Bacteria; Pseudomonadati; Pseudomonadota; Alphaproteobacteria.